GAACGCUCCGCAAGGAGAGUGGCGCACGGGAGAGUAACGCGUGGGAAUCUACCUUUUGGUUCGGAAUAACACCGGGAAACUGGUGCUAAUACCGGAUAAGCCCUUCGGGGGAAAGAUUUAUUGCCAAAAGAUGAGCCCGCGUUGGAUUAGCUAGUUGGUGAGGUAACGGCUCACCAAGGCUACGAUCCAUAGCUGGUCUGAGAGGAUGAUCAGCCUCACUGGGACUGAGACACGGCCCAGACUCCUACGGGAGGCAGCAGUGGGGAAUAUUGGACAAUGGGCGCAAGCCUGAUCCAGCCAUGCCGCGUGGGUGAUGAAGGCCCUAGGGUUGUAAAGCCCUUUCGGCGGGGAAGAUAAUGACGGUACCCGCAGAAGAAGCCCCGGCUAACUUCGUG
This 395-nucleotide ribosomal RNA is filed under the name uncultured bacterium. RNAcentral's name for it is "bacterial SSU rRNA". It matches the Rfam family "Bacterial small subunit ribosomal RNA", at positions 64 to 507 of the family's 1533-position model. The record is from RNAcentral.